GAUGAACGCUGGCGGCGUGCCUAAUACAUGCAAGUCGAGCGAACAGACGAGGAGCUUGCUCCUCUGACGUUAGCGGCGGACGGGUGAGUAACACGUGGAUAACCUACCUAUAAGACUGGGAUAACUUCGGGAAACCGGAGCUAAUACCGGAUAAUAUAUUGAACCGCAUGGUUCAAUAGUGAAAGACGGUUUUGCUGUCACUUAUAGAUGGAUCCGCGCCGCAUUAGCUAGUUGGUAAGGUAACGGCUUACCAAGGCAACGAUGCGUAGCCGACCUGAGAGGGGGGUCGGCCACACUGGAACUGGGACACGGUCCAGACUCCUACGGGAGGCAGCAGUAGGGAAUCUUCCGCAAUGGGCGAAAGCCUGACGGAGCAACGCCGCGUGAGUGGUGAAGGUCUUCGGAUCGUAAAACUCUGUUAUUAGGGAAGAACAAAUGUGUAAGUAACUAUGCACGUCUUGACGGUACCUAAUCAGAAAGCCACGGCUAACUACGUG
RNAcentral lists this ribosomal RNA (497 nucleotides) under uncultured bacterium. RNAcentral describes it as "partial 16S ribosomal RNA". It matches the Rfam family "Bacterial small subunit ribosomal RNA", at positions 28 to 507 of the family's 1533-position model. The record is from RNAcentral.